RNAcentral lists this ribosomal RNA (546 nucleotides) under Zanclorhynchus spinifer. Its description in RNAcentral is "partial 16S large subunit ribosomal RNA". It matches the Rfam family "Bacterial large subunit ribosomal RNA", at positions 274 to 1050 of the family's 2925-position model. The record is from RNAcentral. Lineage: Eukaryota; Metazoa; Chordata; Actinopteri; Perciformes; Zanclorhynchidae.
CGCCAACUAGCUAGCCCGCCUAAGCCACAACAACACACCCUUAUUUAUAACCCCAAAUACACGAACAUAAAGUUAAAUAAAGCAUUUUACCACCUUAGUAUGUGAGACAGAAAAGGAACUAGGAGCAAUAGAGAAAGUACCGUAAGGGAACGCUGAAAGAGAAAUGAAACAAACCAGUGCCGCACAGAAAAGCAGAGAUCUAAACUCGUACCUUUUGCAUCAUGAUUUAGCCAGUGUAUCCCAAGCAAAGAGAACUUUAGUUUGAUAUCCCGAAACUAAGUGAGCUACUCCAAGACAGCCUCUUAAGAGGGCGCACCCGUCUCCGUAGUAAAGGAGUGGGAAGAGCUUUGAGUAGGAGUGACAAACCAAUCGAACUUAGUUAUAGCUGGUUGUCUGGGAAAUGGAUAGGAGUUCAGCCUCCCGGCUUCUUCCCUUCACCUAGGUCUUGUUUCCUUCUACUGUUAGUAAGAAACCCGGAGAGUUAUUCAAAGGGGGCACAGCCCCUUUGAAAAAAGAUACAACUUUUAUAGGAGGAUAAAGAUCAUA